Molecule: non-coding RNA, 1240 nt
Organism: Betta splendens (Siamese fighting fish)
Lineage: Eukaryota; Metazoa; Chordata; Actinopteri; Anabantiformes; Osphronemidae
Source: the annotation of a RefSeq genome assembly
AACACUCUAGAAUCAACAGAAGUGAAAACACAGACUUGAGAGGAGACAGAUUCAGGGAGGAGCUGAGCUGUGACUGAAUGUAGAAGAGAGACAAACGUCUCCAUUCAACAGUUCAGUAGAGACCGAAUCAUUACAUUUAUUAAACAUGACAUCGUUGAAGUUCAUCCAGCUCCUGUUUUCAUUAACUCUUAUUAAAGGUGUCAGAUGUGGAGAUCUCACUCCUGUCAGAGCAGAAGAUUUCAGUGUAGAAAGCAGCAACGUCACUCUGUCCUACACAUACUCCACUAAAGCUACUGCUAGCGACUAUUUCUUCUGGUACCGACAGUAUCCAGGAAAACCACCAGAGUUCCUCAUGUCUCAUUUAGGAACAGGAAAAAUAUUAAAUAAUCCAUUAACUGGACUGACUGUUACAAUGAAUGAGAACAAAACAAAGAUGGAUCUGCAGAUCUCCUCUGCUGCAGUGUCUGACUCUGCUGUGUACUACUGUGCUGUGACGCCCACAGUGACAGGAAACACCUCAACUCUGUACAAAAACCUCUGGAGCAAAGACAACACAAUGCUCCACAGCAUCCACCAGAGGGAGACACUGUGAUAAACUUCAGGAGUUUCAGACCAGAAAUGCCAAAACAAUUAAAACAAGACUCAUUGAACUGCAUAUUUAUCUUCUCUACUGAUUCUUCUACAGCUCAGUGAAUCAACUAGUACAAAUUAUUUACUGUCCAUUAAUAUGAAGAACUUUGAAUCAUCCAUCCAUCUUCCAUUCCGCUUAAUCCCACACGCGGGGUCGCAGGGGUGCUGGAGCAGUACAGCAUCUCAGCUGGCUAUGGGUGCACCCAGGACAGGUCACCAGCCCAUGGCAGGGCACUUUAGAUCAUUUUUAUUGAUUUAAUUAAACAACAACUUUUUGUUGCUUGUGUCAAUCAUACCACAAACUCAUCACAUAACUGACACAAAGUCUGCAACCACUGAACCUCAGCUACAGACCAGCAAGAGCUGAUUACCUGACUCCGCCCACUGAAGUCCAGCUCAACCAAUGAGCUUCUCUGUGUCUCCAGAGCAGAAAUGUUGGAGGAAGUCAAAGCACAAUCCUCCUGAUGCUGAGGAGAAGGGCUGUGCAGCAGAGAGGCUGUUGACUUGUUUCCUUCUACUGCAGUGGAAGAACAUUGUUCAUCUACUGUCUGUUUGGCUCCAACUGCUCCAACGACAUGUUGCUUUACCUCUGUCUCUGUUUGUCUCACUU